UUAUCGUUGUUCAGUUUGUAAUAACCUAUUCUCUCCGCAGCGGACGUUCCUCCGCAGCUCCGCCUGUGUUCCUCUCUACAGCUCCGCCCGUGUUCUUCUCCGCAGCUCCGCUGUGUUCCUCUCCGAAGCUCCGCCGUGUUCCUCUCCAGCUCCGCCCGUGUUCCUCUCUACAGCUCUGCCUGUGUUCUUCUCCGCAGCUUCGCCGUGUUCCUCUCCGCAGCUCCGCUGUGUUCCUCUCCAGCUCCGCCCGUGUUUCGAUCUGUUCAUAGCAGAACCCUUUUGGGUUUUCUGGAGAUGGACUCUGAAUCUCUGCGAACAAUGGCACUUCUUGAAGCUAGAAGUGAAUACAAGGAAAUGAAUGAGGAGGAUGUUGAAUUUGAUGUAGAAGAGGAGUUGACAGAAACAGAAGCAGAGAUUCAAACAGAAGCAGAGGUUCAAACAGAAACACAAGCAACUGCAUCAACACAAGCAGCAAAACCUCAACGUAAGCGUCGAAAAACCUCUACUGUUUGGAAAGAUUUUGUAUUAGUGAGGAUAGAAGAUGGAACAGUAAAGGCUAAGUGCAAUCACUGUGGUUCAACAUUCGCUUAUAAUAGUAAAACCCAUGGUACAAAUCAGUUGAAGCGACACUUAGAGGGUUGUUCUAAGAUGCCUAAGAAAGUAGAUAGACAUGUGUAUGAUCAUUUGGUAGAUCGUGCGAUGGUUACUGAGGCUAUCAUUUACCAUGAUCUACUAUUUUGAUAUGUGGAGUUUGAGAAGGUUAGAGAAAGAGAAGUAUUUAAAUCCCGAGUGUCAACCCAUUUGUAGACAGACUGCUGCUCUUGAUGUCUAUAGGAGAUAUGAAAUAGAGAAAGAGAAGUUGAAGGGGCUGUUGGAGAAGCAUCAUGGCAGGGUCUGUCUGACCGCUGAUUUAUGGAUAUCUAAGCCUCAGAAUACGGGCUAUAUCUGCUUAACUGUCCAUUACAUUGAUGAUGACUGGAGAUUGGACAAUAAGAUCUUAGAAUUUUGUGAGAUGAAGUCUCCACACACAGGUGAUCUGAUUGCCACUAAGAUCUUCGAGUCAUUGAAGGAAUGGGGUUUAGAGAAGAAGAUUUUCUCAAUUACUCUAGACAAUGCCACAAACAACAACAGCAUGGUGAGAAUUCUUGUGGGCAAGCUUCAGAUGACAAGUGGAAGUGGUGGAGGUCUGUUGUGUGAUGGUAAGCACAUACAUGUGAGAUGUUGUGCUCACAAUUUGAACCUCAUAGUUAAAAAUGGCUCAGAAUUAGCAAAUAUUCUUCUGCAUAACAUUCGAGAGAGUGUCAGAUAUGUGAAAGCAUCGCCACAAAGGAAAGAAGCAUUUGCAGCAUGUCUAAAGAGAGUAGGAAAUAGAAGAGGGGCUGGAUUGUCACUUGAUGUUUCUACUCGCUGGAACUCUACAUACGAUAUGCUGGUUAGAGCUCUCAAGUUCAAGGAUGCAUUUGCUAGCAUAGAGUCUUAUGAUCCGAACUAUAAGACCAAUCCUUCAGUGGCUGAGUGGAACCGUGGGGAAAAGAUCUGUGAAUUGUUGAAGCCAUUCAGUGUCAUAACAACCGAUUUUUCAGGUUCAAAGUAUCCCACUUCUAAUAUCUAUUUCACACAAGUGUGGAAUAUACAAUUGUUAUUAAAGAAAUAUUCCACUUGUGAUGAUCUUGGGGUGAGAGAAAUUGCCAGAGACAUGCAAGUGAAGUUUGAUAAAUACUGGAAAGAGUAUAGUCUAAUCUUGGCUAUGGGAGCAGUUCUAGAUCCAAAAAUAAAGAUUGAGAUGCUUGAAGCUGCUUAUAGAGAAUUGGAUUCUUCUACUGCCAGCUUAAAGACUGAAAAACUCAAAGAAAGUUUGAGUGUUCUCUGUAAAGAGUAUCAGAAACUGUCUCAAACAAGUUCUUCAGGAUUUUCACUUACACCACAUGAGAUUGUCACAGAAUCUCCUUUUGAAGAUGAUUAUGAUAAUGUGACUUAUAAUAAUUUUAAAUAAUCUGAGUCAUUUAUUAUCUUGAAAUCGAUAAUUUUGUUAUAAAUGUUCAUAAUGAAGGACUUUUUUGAGUUUGAAAAGAGCAUUGGUGGUGGAGCUGGUGAUCCAAAGACACAUUUGGAUAUCUACUUGGAAGAGCCAAGGCUAAAUAGGAGGGCCAAUAUAAAUUUGGAUGUCUUGACUUAUUGGAGAGAGAACCAACAUCGAUUUGGAGAUUUAGCAUCUAUGGCACGUGACAUCCUCAGCAUUCCGAUCACCACGGUAGCUUCUGAGUCUGCCUUCAGCGUUGGAUCUCGGGUUUUAACUCCUUACCGAAACCGCCUCUUACCUAAAAAUGUUCAAGCUCUUCUUUGCACUAGGAAUUUGGCUGCGUGGUUUUGCUGAAUACCAAGGUACAAUUGAAGACCUCUUUGAUGAAAAUGAAAAUGUUCAAAAAAAACAAGUAAUUCAGGAGCUGAAUCUUCAACAUCAAAAAAUUGAAGUGUUUGAUCGAAUUAUGGAAGUGAUAAGAUGUGUUUAAAAUUGAAGUGGAGAAAAUGGCGCUUCAUCUCUUGUGUCUUUUCUUACAUAUUCUUCAUCUCAUCUCUCUUGUCUCUUCUCUUACAUUUUCUUCAUCUCAUGUCUCUUUACUAGCAAUCAGACUAUCAAAUUGUCAUGUUUUUGUAAUGUAAACUCUGAACAUCUUGUAAACUUAUGAGAAUGUCUUGUAAACUUAUGAGAAUGUCUUUCUGAUGCAUCAUCAAUACAAGUUUGCAAUACAUGUUUGUUUA
This is an RNA transcript of Raphanus sativus (radish), 2760 nucleotides long. RefSeq lists it as uncharacterized. The record is from RefSeq and is a predicted model, not a curated record. NCBI's taxonomy places the organism in Eukaryota, Viridiplantae, Streptophyta, Magnoliopsida, Brassicales, Brassicaceae. The transcript has 4 exons.